CAGGCUUAACACAUGCAAGUCGAGGGGCCUUUGGUCUUAGCUUGCUAAGGCCGAUGGCGACCGGCGCACGGGUGAGUAACACGUAUCCAACCUGCCGUCUACUCUUGGACAGCCUUCUGAAAGGAAGAUUAAUACAAGAUGGCAUCAUGAGUCCGCAUGUUCACAUGAUUAAAGGUAUUCCGGUAGACGAUGGGGAUGCGUUCCAUUAGAUAGUAGGCGGGGUAACGGCCCACCUAGUCUUCGAUGGAUAGGGGUUCUGAGAGGAAGGUCCCCCACAUUGGAACUGAGACACGGUCCAAACUCCUACGGGAGGCAGCAGUGAGGAAUAUUGGUCAAUGGGCGAGAGCCUGAACCAGCCAAGUAGCGUGAAGGAUGACUGCCCUAUGGGUUGUAAACUUCUUUUAUAAAGGAAUAAAGUCGGGUAUGGAUACCCGUUUGCAUGUACUUUAUGAAUAAGGAUCGGCUAACUCCGUGCCAGCAGCCGCGGUAAUACGGAGGAUCCGAGCGUUAUCCGGAUUUAUUGGGUUUAAAGGGAGCGUAGAUGGAUGUUUAAGUCAGUUGUGAAAGUUUGCGGCUCAACCGUAAAAUUGCAGUUGAUACUGGAUAUCUUGAGUGCAGUUGAGGCAGGCGGAAUUCGUGGUGUAGCGGUGAAAUGCUUAGAUAUCACGAAGAACUCCGAUUGCGAAAGCAGCCUGCUAAGCUGCAACUGACAUUGAGGCUCGAAAGUGUGGGUAUCAAACAGGAUUAGAUACCCUGGUAGUCCACACGGUAAACGAUGAAUACUCGCUGUUUGCGAUAUACUGCAAGCGGCCAAGCGAAAGCGUUAAGUAUUCCACCUGGGGAGUACGCCGGCAACGGUGAAACUCAAAGGAAUUGACGGGGGCCCGCACAAGCGGAGGAACAUGUGGUUUAAUUCGAUGAUACGCGAGGAACCUUACCCGGGCUUAAAUUGCAGAUGAAUUACGGUGAAAGCCGUAAGCCGCAAGGCAUCUGUGAAGGUGCUGCAUGGUUGUCGUCAGCUCGUGCCGUGAGGUGUCGGCUUAAGUGCCAUAACGAGCGCAACCCUUGUUGUCAGUUACUAACAGGUUCCGCUGAGGACUCUGACAAGACUGCCAUCGUAAGAUGUGAGGAAGGUGGGGAUGACGUCAAAUCAGCACGGCCCUUACGUCCGGGGCUACACACGUGUUACAAUGGGGGGUACAGAGGGCCGCUACCACGCGAGUGGAUGCCAAUCCCCAAAACCUCUCUCAGUUCGGACUGGAGUCUGCAACCCGACUCCACGAAGCUGGAUUCGCUAGUAAUCGCGCAUCAGCCACGGCGCGGUGAAUACGUUCCCGGGCCUUGUACACACCG
This 1353-nucleotide ribosomal RNA is filed under the name uncultured bacterium. RNAcentral's name for it is "16S ribosomal RNA". It matches the Rfam family "Bacterial small subunit ribosomal RNA", at positions 43 to 1392 of the family's 1533-position model. The record is from RNAcentral.